RNAcentral lists this ribosomal RNA (253 nucleotides) under uncultured bacterium. RNAcentral describes it as "partial 16S ribosomal RNA". It matches the Rfam family "Bacterial small subunit ribosomal RNA", at positions 524 to 776 of the family's 1533-position model. The record is from RNAcentral.
UACGUAGGGGGCAAGCGUUGUCCGGAAUUAUUGGGCGUAAAGAGCGUGUAGGCGGUCCGGUAAGUCAGCUGUGAAAGUCAAGGGCUCAACCCUUGAAAGCCGGUUGAUACUGUCGGGCUAGAGUCCGGAAGAGGCGAGUGGAAUUCCCGGUGUAGCGGUGAAAUGCGCAGAUAUCGGGAAGAACACCCGUGGCGAAGGCGGUUCUCUGGGACGGUACUGACGCUGAGACGCGAAAGCGUGGGGAGCGAACAGG